UUUCUUAACAAACUGUUCAA
RNAcentral lists this small nuclear RNA (20 nucleotides) under Arabidopsis thaliana (thale cress). RNAcentral's name for it is "snRNA_17259". The record is from RNAcentral. Lineage: Eukaryota; Viridiplantae; Streptophyta; Magnoliopsida; Brassicales; Brassicaceae.